AUGCCUACGGGACGCAGCAGUGGGGAAUAUUGCACAAUGGGGGGAACCCUGAUGCAGCGACGCCGCGUGAGGGAAGAAGGUUUUUGGAUUGUAAACCUCUGUCCUUGGUAAAGAAGCAAGACGGUAGCCAAGGAGGAAGCCACGGCUAACUACGUGCCAGCAGCCGCGGUAAUACGUAGGUGGCAAGCGUUAUCCGGAUUUAUUGGGUGUAAAGGGCGUGUAGGCGGGAGCGCAAGUCAGAUGUGAAAACUCAGGGCUCAACCCUGAGCCU
This 271-nucleotide ribosomal RNA is filed under the name uncultured bacterium. Its description in RNAcentral is "partial 16S ribosomal RNA". It matches the Rfam family "Bacterial small subunit ribosomal RNA", at positions 335 to 622 of the family's 1533-position model. The record is from RNAcentral.